Long non-coding RNA from Oncorhynchus gorbuscha (pink salmon), 368 nucleotides. RefSeq lists it as uncharacterized. NCBI's taxonomy places the organism in Eukaryota, Metazoa, Chordata, Actinopteri, Salmoniformes, Salmonidae. The transcript is spliced from 3 exons. The record is from RefSeq and is a predicted model, not a curated record.
CUACUGGAGGGAGAGGAGAGCAGGAUUGGACAUCAAUCUAUUGUCAAUAUCCAGUCGGUGUCCAGCUACAGUUCUAAGAGCAGCUGUAACAAAUACCUCAGCAGCUUCAGCUCAACACCCAAGCUGCUGAUUAAAACGAUUGAACAACGAGGAAGCUCCAGAUUCAGCUCUCACUGAGGAGCCCUCAGAUCCUUCUGGCUUGGGAUGAAGAGUUUAUAUCACAUGUAUUGCUUCUUUUGUUUAUGUGCAUGGAGAGUAUACCGUAAGAUCAUGAUUCAAGAUCUAAUAGUUUUGAUUUUGUAGCUAGUUGUUUGUUUGGAUACAAACUUUUGUCUUUGUAUUUUCAUUACAGAAAGAACAAACUUGCA